CGCCAAGGGGGCGGGGCCUCCCCGGCCGCUUUCCCGCCGGCGCGCCGGGAGCCGGGGCAGGGGCGCGGGGGCUGGAGCCGGGGUCCCUGCAGGGCAGGGCAGGGCAGCAGCGGGGUCCCUGGGCCCAGCACGGCGCUGGGUCGCCCCGAGCACCUCGCAGGGGCUCUGCUGGCUGUGCAGCUCCGCGGCAAUCCCGCGCCCUCCUCUCCCUCGGCGCUGCCCAGCGGGUCCCUUCGGGCACGGGGCGCACGCAGCGGGAAGUGUCCGGUGCUGCCCGCCAAAUGACAGAUGGCUCCAAAUGAACAGCAACAGCAAAGUUUGAUGAUGACAAAAAUAGGUGACACGAUGUUCCCAGCACCAGGGUGAAGUGCCCAGUGGAUCACCAGUGCUGUGUGGAUCAGGAAGACCAGAACCCCGAACUGGUUCUCGUCUAGGAACGAGGCAGAGCACUUAUAUCCCAGCCUAAGGAAGGAAGCCAUCAGGGUUUAACAGAGAAUAAUAACCUCUCCGAUGAGUUUUUAAUUAUCAUUUCAAAUUCCUUCAGAGGAACAUAAUUCUCUUAAAUUCUUAAGGAUUGCUCAUAUACUAUAGGAAAAUAAAAAAGAUCUUUUUCUAUUACUGUUUAAAAA
Anas platyrhynchos (mallard) is the source of this 629-nucleotide non-coding RNA. NCBI's taxonomy places the organism in Eukaryota, Metazoa, Chordata, Aves, Anseriformes, Anatidae. The record is from RefSeq and is a predicted model, not a curated record.